This 253-nucleotide ribosomal RNA is filed under the name uncultured bacterium. Its description in RNAcentral is "partial 16S ribosomal RNA". It matches the Rfam family "Bacterial small subunit ribosomal RNA", at positions 524 to 776 of the family's 1533-position model. The record is from RNAcentral.
UACAGAGGUCCCGAGCGUUGUUCGGAUUCAUUGGGCGUAAAGGGUGCGUAGGCGGUUUCCUAAGUUUGAUGUGAAAUCCCGGGGCUUAACCCUGGAAUUGCAUUGAAUACUGGGAGACUAGAGUACUGGAGAGGAAACUGGAAUUUACGGUGUAGCAGUGAAAUGCGUAGAUAUGCGGAGGAACACCGAUGGCGAAGGCAAUCCCCUGGGCCUGCACUGACGCUCAUGCACGAAAGCGUGGGGAGCAAACAGG